RNAcentral lists this long non-coding RNA (2760 nucleotides) under Mus musculus (house mouse). RNAcentral describes it as "long non-coding RNA chr2:67655673-67658433". Lineage: Eukaryota; Metazoa; Chordata; Mammalia; Rodentia; Muridae. The record is from RNAcentral.
UUUGGAUUUUCAUCCAGGGCAGGUUGAGCCAGUACUAGUUUUAUAUUGAGAAAUGAAGUAGAAGACUGGGGAGUGAAACAUAAAGCAAUGUACACCAACACAGCCAAUCUCCCUUUCCUAGGGAUCUGGUUCUGCACACACCUAGUACUGCCAGGUCUUAAAAGCUUUCCAAAUAAUUCUGACGUCCCAAACUGGUUUAAAAAUGGGAACGACAGUCUCAAAUUAUGCAACUCUCUCCAUAUAUAGUCACCAUCUAAUGAUAAAGUUUGAGACAGAAUCUUCUGUUGGCAUGCCCAUUCCGCGUUCCUGAGGCUUAGGGUGUAUCAAAGAGGAGCUGGACUCUAACUGGGAAGGGGCUUACUGCUGGCAAUAGAACAAAAUCCUUAGUUAUUUUUACAGUAAUUUUCAAAGAAUAUCAUAUUUUCAUUCUUUUUGGAAACUAUAAUUACAUCUUUCCUCUUUUCCUUGCCUCUCUUCAGACAGUCUCAUGUAUACCCUCUACCCCAGUGUCUAGUAUCUUUUACGUUCAUGACCUCUUUUGUUUGAAAACUGGAUUUUAAAAUAUAACCUUCCCUUUUCCUAAUUAAAAUUUGCACUAAUUGUAAAAUAGAUGAAAGAGGCGUCAGGAUGGAUGAACAGGGCUGUAUACAUGCUUUCUCGAUCCUAUAGUCCUCUACUAGAUUAUCUGGGCGCUCCAGAGGGUACAGUUGUAACUACUGUUUGACUGUCAUUUAUCAGUCCUUUCACUUAUGAACGGGAGGUUAAAUGGAAUGACAUCACUGGCCCCUGAAAAAGCCCUGUUAGAACAGGAGUCCUCACAGCUAGUGGGAUGCACUUUACUUUAAUGUAUUUAUUUGCUUCUGCCAAGAGAGGGCAUUAAAAGAUGCAGUGGGAAGCCACUGUCUCCAUUAACAUUUGAACAACAAUAUGCUGUUCCUAAACUUAGAUGUAUAAUCACUCACAUAAAUGGAACCAUACAUGUAAAAUUAAAUUAGCUUUAUUAUGCCAUUAAAGGAACCAUUUGAUUUUGUCAGUUGGGAAAAAUCUUAUAAAAUCGGAUGUUGAAUUAAUUAAGUAGAGUAAUAUAAUGAAACUUCAGUGUGUGAAAUCUGAUCUGGAUAAGGCCCUGUAGAGGAGGCAAUGUGCUAGCUUACAUGAAAUCUCAGAGAUUCUCUAAUAAACAUCUAAUGGGAAAACACAGGUUGUAAGGUAUUUUAUUCCUUAUACCAUUGAAAGACUAAUCCACAUGACAAAAAGAAUAAUAAAAUUUGAGGGAUAAAGAGGUACCUCAGUUGGUAAAGUGCCUGUUGAGCAAGCUAGGAGGAACUAAACCCUCCCCGGCACCCACCGAAAGUAUUAAAAUGCGUAUUUUUUUCAGCUGAUAGAAUUUAGAUAAUGCAUUUGAAACUUGUUUUUUUUUUUUUUUUUUCAUGACAGCAUUGAAGGAUAUUUGAAAAGAAAAUAUGUCACUUAAUGGGAUAGAAUUUAUUAUAGCACUAGUGGCAUUUCCUAAAGAGCAAAACUUGAAUAAAAAAGAUAAAAUAAAUAUUGAAUAUUUUUAAAUAGCAGGUGGCAUUGGGCAGAGAAACAGUUUUCCUGUCAGUAGCAUUCGUUUUUAAAAAGGCACAUUCUAUUUGGAGCAGACCUUUGGAGGCAUUCUAAAAUGAAAUCCUGCAUUUAUUGAAGGAUGUAAAAUAAUGAGAUUAUAUAGCUCUCACAAAAUGAACCAAGGAUGAUGAGUGGUGCCGCCAAACACACCGACAAGGAUGGUGUCUGCUUUACCUGGUAGGAAGACGUUUGCCUUGAAAUCUAUGGAAGGAUUCUGUGCAGUCUGGGAGAAGGCUCUAUCUCCAAAUCACCAAGUGAGGUAAAAAUAGCAAGCUGUUUGGUUAAGACAGCCAGCCAUCUGUUCUACGGCAUCAGAAGUUGGGAGACUGAGGCUGACUCCAGGGAGGCUCCUUGGGCUCAUAAGUGUUAGUAAAAUGGCUGCAUUACAACUCAUAGUCUCCUGGGUCUUCUUAAGUUUCUCAAUCAUUUCAGCUUGUUCAGACUUGAAGGAGAUUGUUAUAAAUUCUCCAUUCCAAGCAGGAUUCUGUGCCCAGUCCAGAGAGACAACAAAGAAAAAACCACUCUGUAGCUAUAAUUUUCAUUAUCAGGUGGGAAAAUGAAGCAACAACAACAACAAUAGCAACAAACUGCCAAGUUUGGGCUUCUCUUUGGUCAAUGAAGUCAAAACCCUCAGUGUCCAGAAUGUAUGUUAGGUACUCAUCAGGUAUUUAAUGUACAGCCCCAUUUGAGAACUUCUGCUCUACAAUAGAAGGAGUGGUGCUUUCUGAGACCCUAGUAGAGGGGUCCUCUGCUAAAAGCCCACUGUAACAUUUGGCAAAUCUGACUUCAACCCAUUUUACUGAAGGGUAUGGAGUUCUUGACCCCUGGGGGAAAAUGCAUCAAUUCCUUUUGUGCACAAAAUGAUUUCCUAGAGUAUAAGUGAUCAUUUUUAUCUUUUUUAAAAUUUGGAAGACAUAUUUCCAAGAAUAUGUCAGGUUUUUGGCUGGCAGGAAGAAGUCACAAUCUGGUUAGAGAAAGAGAGUGAGCCAGUGUAUUAUAUAAGAAGAACAUCUCUUAGACUGAGUUCUGUGAUUCUGGUGUGCAAAGAAUAUUUUUCAAGAUAAAUCCAACACGUAGAAUAUUUUCUGCCCAGAGCUCAAGUGGCUGCUAAAAAUUUUGUGUGUUCAGUAUCAUAAUUCUUCUCUUCACAAG